This is a non-coding RNA of Gossypium arboreum, 145 nucleotides long. The record is from Rfam. Lineage: Eukaryota; Viridiplantae; Streptophyta; Magnoliopsida; Malvales; Malvaceae.
UGUUAAAACUUUCAUCUAUUUUUACUGUUAAAAACUGGCGUGGCUAACAAAAUAACUAAAUAGUUACAUGUGGCAUGUCAUGUAUACCUCAUGUUGAAGUAGAGGGACUAGUUUCUAACAGUUAAAAUGGAUGGAAUUUUUAACA